UUUCGCAAUGCCCGAAAGGGUGACGAAGCGACGCCGCGUGUGGGAAGAAGGCCUUCGGGUUGUAAACCACUGUCGGGAGUUAAGAAAUGUAAGGGUGUUAAUAGCAUCCUUGCUUGACUAAGGCUCCGGAGGAAGCCACGGCUAACUCUGUGCCAGCAGCCGCGGUAAUACAGAGGCGGCAAGCGUUGUUCGGAAUUAUUGGGCGUAAAGAGCACGUAGGCGGCUUUGUAAGUCAGUUGUGAAAGCCUUCUGCUUAACGGAAGAACAGCAUCUAAUACUGCAAGGCUAGAGUACGGAAGGGGAGAGUGGAACUUCUGGUGGAGCGGUGAAAUGCGUAGAUAUCAGAAGGAACGCCGGCGGCGAAAGCGGCUCUCUGGCCCAUAACUGACGCUGAGUGUGCGAAAGCUAGGGGAGCAAACGGGAUUAGAUACCCCGGUAGUCCUAGCCGUAAACGAUGGGCACUAAGUAGAGGGGUUUUA
Molecule: ribosomal RNA, 479 nt
Filed under: uncultured bacterium
Lineage: Bacteria
Description: bacterial SSU rRNA
Rfam family: Bacterial small subunit ribosomal RNA
Source: RNAcentral